AACGAACGCUGGCGGCGUGCCUAACACAUGCAAGUCGUGCGAGAAAGUUCCUUCGGGAGCGAGUAAAGCGGCGCACGGGUGAGUAACACGUAGGUAACCUGCCCCCCAGUCUGGAACAACUAGAGGAAACUCUAGCUAAUGCCGGAUGAGACCACGAUCCCUUCGGGGGUUGCGGCCAAAGAUGGCCUCCACUUGUAAGCUAUCGCUGAGGGAUGGGCCUGCGGGCCAUUAGCUUGUUGGUGAGGUAACGGCUCACCAAGGCUGUGAUGGCUAGCUGGUCUGAGAGGAUGACCAGCCACACUGGGACUGAGACACGGCCCAGACUCCUACGGGAGGCAGCAGUGGGGAAUAUUGCGCAAUGGGCGAAAGCCUGACGCAGCGACGCCGCGUGGGUGAUGAAGGCCUCGGGUUGUAAGACUCUGUCACCU
This 428-nucleotide ribosomal RNA is filed under the name uncultured bacterium. Its description in RNAcentral is "bacterial SSU rRNA". It matches the Rfam family "Bacterial small subunit ribosomal RNA", at positions 29 to 441 of the family's 1533-position model. The record is from RNAcentral.